Molecule: ribosomal RNA, 409 nt
Filed under: Fusobacteriota bacterium
Lineage: Bacteria; Fusobacteriati; Fusobacteriota
Description: Fusobacteria bacterium partial 16S ribosomal RNA
Rfam family: Bacterial small subunit ribosomal RNA
Source: RNAcentral
UGGGGAAUAUUGCACAAUGGAGGGAACUCUGAUGCAGCAACGCCGCGUGCGGGAUGACGGCCUUCGGGUUGUAAACCGCUUUCAGCCAUGACGAAGCUUUUGUGACGGUAGUGGUAGAAGAAGCACCGGCUAACUACGUGCCAGCAGCCGCGGUGAUACGUAGGGUGCGAGCGUUGUCCGGAAUUAUUGGGCGUAAAGAGCUUGUAGGCGGUUUGUCGCGUCGAUAGUGCAAACUCAGUGCUUAACGCUGAGCCUGCUGUUGAUACGGGCAGACUAGAGGAAGGUAGGGGAGAAUGGAAUUCCCGGUGGAGCGGUGGAAUGCGCAGAUAUCGGGAGGAACACCGGUGGCGAAGGCGGUUCUCUGGGCCUUUCCUGACGCUGAGAAGCGAAAGCGUGGGGAGCGAACAGG